GGUAGCAUAAUCAUUAGUCUCCUAAUUAGAGGCUUGUAUGAAUGGUCGGACAAGAUAGGGACUGUCUCAACGUAAAAAAUAAAAUUUAAUUAUUAAGUAAAAAAGCUUAAAUAAUGCAGAGUGACGAUAAGACCCUAUAAAGCUUUAUAAUAAAUUUUUCUUAUAUAAAUUAAGGGUUUAUUAUCAUAUUAGAAAAAUAUUAUUAUUUUACUGGGGCGGUAAAAGUAUAUUCUGAUUAACUGCUUUUAUUUUGUAAUACAAUUAUAGUUGGUAAUUAAUUGAUCCAUUAAUAAUGAUUAUAAGACCAAGUUACUUUAGGGAUAACAGCGUAAUUUUUUUUGAGAGUCCUCAUCGAAAAAAAAGUUUGCGACCUCGAUGUUGAAUUAAGGAUUACCUUAUGGUGCAGCAGUUUUAAAGGUAGAUCUGUUCGAUCUUUAAAUCUUUACAUGAUUUG
RNAcentral lists this ribosomal RNA (454 nucleotides) under Pseudosquillana richeri. RNAcentral's name for it is "partial 16S ribosomal RNA". It matches the Rfam family "Bacterial large subunit ribosomal RNA", at positions 1955 to 2607 of the family's 2925-position model. Lineage: Eukaryota; Metazoa; Arthropoda; Malacostraca; Stomatopoda; Pseudosquillidae. The record is from RNAcentral.